This 842-nucleotide ribosomal RNA is filed under the name uncultured phototrophic eukaryote. RNAcentral describes it as "bacterial SSU rRNA". It matches the Rfam family "Bacterial small subunit ribosomal RNA", at positions 653 to 1501 of the family's 1533-position model. The record is from RNAcentral.
AGAGGUACAGGGAAUUUCCGGUGGAGCGGUGAAAUGCGUAGAUAUCGGAAGGAACACCAAUAUGGCGAAGGCACUGUACUGGGCUUUACCUGACGCUAAGAGACGAAAGCUAAAGGAGUGAUUAGGAUUAGAUACCCUAGUAAUUUUAGCCGUAAACGAUGGAAACUCACUGCCGAGCCGGUAUUUGGAGCGGUGGUCAAGCUAACGCGUGAAGUUUCCCGCCUGGGGAUUACGCAUGCAAAUGUGAAACUCAAAGGAAUUGACGGGGACCCGCGCAAGCGGUGGAGUAUGUGGUUUAAUUCGAUGCAACGCGAAAAACCUUACCAAGGUUUGAAAUCAUUCUAAAACUCUUUGAAAGAAGAGCCUCCUUCGGGAUAGAAUGACAGGUGGUGCAUGGCUGUCGUCAGCUCGUGUUGUGAAAUGUCAAGUUAAGUCUUGUAACGAGCGCAACCCAUGUCUUUUGUUGCUGUUUACAGUGCUUAAAAGAGACUGCCGCUCUACAGCGGAGGAAGGUGUGGAUGAUGUCAAGUCAGCAUGCCCCUUAUAUCUUGGGCUACACACGUACUACAAUGGUAGGGACAAUGAGUCGCAAACCUGCGAAGGCUAGCCAAUCUCAAAAACCCUAUCUCAGUUCGGAUUGUACUCUGCAACUCGAGUGCAUGAAGGUGGAAUCGCUAGUAAUCGCUGGUCAGCAUACAGCGGUGAAUACGUUCCCGGGUCUUGUACACACUGCCCGUCACACCAUGGAAGUCGAUCCUUCCCUAAGUCGUUACUCGAACCUUUUAGGACGAGGAUGCCGAAGGCAGGGUUGGUGACUAGGGUGAAGUCGUAACAAGGUAACC